This 253-nucleotide ribosomal RNA is filed under the name uncultured bacterium. RNAcentral describes it as "partial 16S ribosomal RNA". It matches the Rfam family "Bacterial small subunit ribosomal RNA", at positions 524 to 776 of the family's 1533-position model. The record is from RNAcentral.
UACGUAGGGGGCAAGCGUUGUCCGGAAUCAUUGGGCGUAAAGCGCGCGUAGGCGGCCCGGUAAGUCCGCUCUGAAAGUCCAGGGCUCAACCCUGGAAAGCGGGUGGAUACUGCCGGGCUAGAAUCCGGAAGAGGCGAGUGGAAUUCCUGGUGUAGCGGUGAAAUGCGUAGAUAUCUGGAGGAACACCGGUGGCGAAGGCGGCAUCCUGGACCAACACUGACACUGAGGAGCGAAAGCCAGGGGAGCAAACGGG